RNAcentral lists this ribosomal RNA (1051 nucleotides) under uncultured organism. Its description in RNAcentral is "bacterial SSU rRNA". It matches the Rfam family "Bacterial small subunit ribosomal RNA", at positions 347 to 1427 of the family's 1533-position model. The record is from RNAcentral.
GGCUGCAGUCGAGAAUCUUCCACAAUGGGGGAAACCCUGAUGGAGCGAUGCUGCGUGCGGGAUGAAGGCCUUCGGGUUGUAAACCGCUUUUGUAGGGGACGAAAUUUUUGACGGUACCCUUUCGAAUAAGAGGUUGCUAACUCUGUGCCAGCAGCAGCGGUAAUACAGAGACCUCAAGCGUUAUCCGGAUUUACUGGGCGUAAAGCGUCUGUAGGGGGUUUAUUAAGUUCCAAGUAAAAUUUCAAGGCUCAACUUUGAAUUCGCUUGGAAAACUAAUAAACUGGAGUCUAGCAGAGGUGCAUGGAACUUGUGGUGUAGGAGUGAAAUCCGUUGAUAUCACAAGGAACACCAAAGGCGAAGGCAUUGCACUGGGCUAGCACUGACCCUGAGAGACGAAAGCGUGGGGAGCAAAACGGAUUAGAUACCCGUGUAGUCCACGCCCUAAACGAUGAAUGCUAAAUGUUCGGGGAUUCGACCCCCUGGGUGUUACAGCUAACGCGUUAAGCAUUCCGCCUGGGAAGUACGGCCGCAAGGCUAAAACUCAAAGGAAUAGACGGGGAUCCGCACAAGCGGUGGAGCGUCUGGUUUAAUUCGACAGUAAGCGUGGUACCUCACCAGGGUUUGACAUCCCUUGACAGUCUUGGAAACAAGGUUUCCUUCGGGCAAGGUGACAGGUGCUGCAUGGUCGUCGUCAGUUCGUGCCGUGAGGUGUUCCGUUAAGUCGGGAAACGAACGAAACCCCUAUUGCAUGUUACAAUUUCUCAUGCAAGACUGCCCGGAUAUACUGGGAGGAAGGUGGGGAUGACGUCAGAUCUGCAUGGUCCUUAUACCCUGGGCGACACAGGCGCUACAAUGGCAGAGACAAAGGGUUGCAAAACCGCAAGGUGAAGCUAAUCCCAAAAACUUUGUCUAAGUUCGGAUUGAAGGCUGCAAUUCGCCUUCAUGAAGCUGGAGUCGCUAGUAAUCGUGAAUCAGCCACGUCACGGUGAAUAUGUUCCCGGAUCUUGUACUCACCGUCCGUCACACCAAGAGAGUUGGUAGCUCCCGAAGC